Molecule: ribosomal RNA, 620 nt
Filed under: Campylobacter sp. S3h 14
Lineage: Bacteria; Pseudomonadati; Campylobacterota; Epsilonproteobacteria; Campylobacterales; Campylobacteraceae
Description: bacterial SSU rRNA
Rfam family: Bacterial small subunit ribosomal RNA
Source: RNAcentral
UGCAGUCGAACGAUGAAGCUUCUAGCUUGCUAGAAGUGGAUUAGUGGCGCACGGGUGAGUAAGGUAUAGUUAAUCUGCCCUACACAAGAGGACAACAGUUGGAAACGACUGCUAAUACUCUAUACUCCUGCUUAACACAAGUUGAGUAGGGAAAGUUUUUCGGUGUAGGAUGAGACUAUAUAGUAUCAGCUAGUUGGUAAGGUAAUGGCUUACCAAGGCUAUGACGCUUAACUGGUCUGAGAGGAUGAUCAGUCACACUGGAACUGAGACACGGGUCCCAGACUCCCUACGGGGAGGCAGCAGUAGGGAAUAUUGCGCAAUGGGGGAAACCCCUGACGCAGCAACGCCGCGUGGAGGAUGACACUUUUCGGAGCGUAAACUCCUUUUCUUAGGGAAGAAUUCUGACGGUACCUAAGGAAUAAGCACCGGCUAACUCCGUGCCAGCAGCCGCGGUAAUACGGAGGGUGCAAGCGUUACUCGGAAUCACUGGGCGUAAAGGGCGCGUAGGCGGAUUAUCAAGUCUCUUGUGAAAUCUAAUGGCUUAACCAUUAAACUGCUUGGGAAACUGAUAGUCUAGAGUGAGGGAGAGGCAGAUGGAAUUGGUGGGUGUAGGGGUAAAA